CGAUCACACUGAGACUGACAGUAGCUUCCGAGUGUAAACAAUGGCGAAUCUUCCGAUGGAUACCGUCGCCGAUAUAUUCCUCCGUCUCCCUGCCACUACGCUGGUUCGAUGUCGCGUCCUCUCGAAGCCCUGCUGCUCUCUUAUCGACAGUCCCGACUUCAUCGCCUCGCAUCUCAAACGCACGCUCGAAACAGAAGAUCACAUCAUGAUCCUACUGCGAACCUAUCUCCGUCUACGUACGGUGUACCUCGACGCACCGGAUAAAGUCUCCCUCGUCAAUCAUCCUCUGCGAACCGGUGGUUUCACGGAAGUUUUCGGUUCGGUUAACGGUAUAAUCGGUUUAACCAACUCUCCUACUGAUUUAGCGCUUUUCAAUCCAUCGACUCGCAAAAUCCACCGCCUACCGGUUGAGCCUAUCGAUUUCUUCGAACGUCAGAUCACUCGCGAAUACGUGUUCUACGGAUUAGGUCACGAUUCGGUGAGCGAUGACUACAAAGUCGUGAGGAUGAUUCAGUCUAAAGAUAGAGGAGGUGAUGAAAGCUUUGGCUAUCCUUUCGAAGUCAAAGUGUUCAGCUUAAAGAGUAACAAAUGGAAGAGAAUCGAUCUUCUCUCCGAGGACGUUGAGAUUCUCUUCGACAACUUCUAUUUCCAUCUCCUGUAUCGCCGCGGGAACGGUGUUCUCGCUAGCAACAAUCUUCACUGGAUUUUGAUUCAUAACGAAGGAGAUAUAGGCAUGAACACGAUAAUCAGAUUUGAUCUUGCUACUGAGGAGCUUGGAGUCGUCAAUUUCUCGCAUGAUGUUUAUGUUAAAGGGAUGGAUAUAGGUGUGUUAGGUGGCUGCCUCUGUAUGAUGUGUUAUAACGAGGUUAGACAUGCGGAUGUUUGGAUUAUGAGGGAGUAUGGAGGAGAGUGGAGCAAGUUCGUUUCUGUGCCGCAGCCGGAGAGUGUGGUUUCGUUUGAGUUUGUGAGGCCUUUGGUUUAUUCUAAGGACAGGAGGAAGAUUUUGCUGGAGAUAAACAAUGGGAAGCUCUUUUGGUUUGAUUUGGCGAGUAGGAGUCUUGAAAGGCUUGUGAUAAAGGGUUGUGAGGUUCUUCCAUGUAACGCGGAAAUUGUUGUGAGUAGCCUUGUUUUGGGGUGUAAAGAAAAGAAAAUGGUGCAGAAGGGUAACAAAAGGUUGUAUGCAUAUCUUAAUUUUUUUGAGUUUUUAAAAUUGCUAAUGGUUCGAAUGUAAUAACUUGCUUAAACCAUCUUGUGUUACAAUCUCAGGAGGGAUGAUUUUCUGUCCAAGGGAUUCAAGCUGAAGUUGUGAGCAAAGCAGGGGAACUUCAAAACCCAAAAAUUUAUGAAGGUAAGUGUAAAGAAUCUAAUGGUCGUGACUCGUGACUGUUUCCUUCAAGUUUGUAUUCUUGUUUCUCUUUGUGUGAGAUUUCCAUUCUUAACCUGGAUACGUUAUUGGAAACCUUAGUAAGUGGAACUUGAGUCAACAUCGUAGGGUAACGUUUACGAGUCGCACAAUAUAUGAAUAUGGUGAACAAUUCUUACUAUGUCAAGUGUUAUUGGAGUUUGAACUGUGUAGGUGCUGUCACAAUUAUGAAAGAAUCUUAUUGUUUCAAGUGUUUUAGAGUUCGAACCGUGACAUCGAGUAGGUGCAAAUCUUGACUUUUUGUUUGAUUUUCAGGUGCAAGGCGUAGGUGGAAAGGAAAUGGCUUGAAGCAGCUUCAUCAAAUGCUAAACCCAUAUUAGGUCUUAGUACUAGUUAGCUUAACUAUGUAGUACGUAUAUAUCCUAAGAGAAGACAGUGUGCUUAGGUAACUUCUUUUGAGUAUGGCAUGUUUCAGUAUAACGUAAUUUGGUUUCCGCUUAGACUCGCAUCCUCAUCAAAAAUCUAAAUAGCCAAACGGGAUUUUCAGGACGUUUUCGUUUCGUUAGUUGCAUAUAUCAAAUCUAAGAUCAGAAUGAAAUUUGCAGGAUGAUUCAUGGACGUUAAAAAUUAUUUAUGAAAUAAAGUGGUCUUAUUAAUAUUUUUUGUUUAAUAACAUUUAGACAAGAAUUAAAAGAGGAAAUAAUUGGGUAGGAAGACGACAGUAAGGCCAAACUCAAGAAAAUGUAUCCACACAGCGACUGAAAUGUGCAAACAAUUAAAAAAUUGCCAAUGCUUUUUGUCCAUUAGAUUGUGUUAAGAUGAAUACAUUUUUCGGACUUUUAUUGGGCCGAGCCAACGAGGCCCAUGAAGAAUAAAAUUACACCCUCUUCGAAUCAAAAUAUCCGCGUCCCUAUGUUGUCAAACCCUAGAGCUGCUCACUCACACUGAAACUGAGAGUAGCUUCCCAAAGAAAACAAUGGCGAAUAUGAAUAUGCCGAUGGAUGUCGUUAACGAUCUAUUCCUCCGCCUCCCUGCUACUACGCUCCUCCGAUGUCGCGUCCUCUCGAAGCCUUGCUGCUCUCUCAUCGACAGUCCCGACUUCAUCGCCUCGCAUCUCAAACGCACGCUAGAAACCGCAGAGCACCUCAUGAUCCUGCUACAAUCGCCUCAGCUUCUUCGUACGGUGUACCUCGACGCACCGAAUAAACUCUCCGACGUUGAGCAUCCUCUACAAACCGGCGGUGUCACGGAAGUUUUCGGUUCGGUUAACGGUGUGAUCGGUUUAACGAACUCUCCUCUCGACUUGGCGCUUUUCAAUCCAUCGACUCGCAAAAUCCAUCGCCUACCGAUUGCGUCUAUUGAUUUCCCUGAGCAUUCCAUCAGUCGCGAGAAUGUGUUUUACGGAUUAGGUUACGAUUCCGUGAGCGAUGAUUACAAAGUUGUGAGGAUUAUUCAGUGUAAUGAUGAAGGUGAUGAAGGCGAUGAAAGCUUUGGUUACGCUUUAGAAAUCAAAGUUUUCAGCUUAAAGAGUAAUCAAUGGAAGAGAAUCCGUGUUAACUUUGAGGUUCAGAUUCUCUUCAUCUACUUCUAUUACGAUCUGCUGCAUCGCCGUGGGAAUGGUGUUCUCGCUAGCAACAGUCUUCACUGGAUUUUGCCUCGAACUGGUGGACAUACUGCGUUCAACACGAUUAUCAGAUUUGAUCUUGCUUCUGACAAUCUUGGAGUCCUUAACUUCCCGCAGGAUCUUUACUGUGAAGAUGAUAUGGAUAUUGGUGUGUUAGAUGGAUGCCUUUGCUUGAUGUGUUACAGUGAGUCUAGCCAUGUGGAUGUUUGGAUUUUGAGGGAGUAUCAAGGAAAAUGGAGCAAGUUCAUUACUGUGCCGAAACCAGAGACUGUGGUUUCGUUUGAGUUUGUGAGACCUAUGAUCUACUCCAAGGACAGGAGCAAGAUUUUGCUGGAGUUAAACAAUGGGAAGCUCGUGUGGUUUGAUUUGGAGAGUAAGAGUUUUGAAGCGCUUGAAAUAAAGGGCUGUGAGGGUCCGUGUAAUGCUGAAAUCGUGGUGAGUAGCCUUGUUUUUGGGAUGUAAAGGUGAUCCUUGCAGAGCUCCAGAAAAGAAAAUGAUGCAGGAGAGUGACAAAAGGUUGUAUGCAUAUCUUUCUAAAGUGCUUUCUUACUUGUUUUGAUUCCCUGGUAUAUUUGACAAUAAGUCAAACCUGAGUCUUGUGUAUCUUCAUUCUUUGAGAUUUUGAGGAUUGCUAAUGGUAACUUGCUUAAACAUCUUAUGUUACAAUCUCAGGGGGGAUGAAUGUCUGUCCAAGGGAUUCAAGCCGAAUUUAUGAACAAAGCAGGGGAACUUUAUAAAGGUAAGCAAUCUAAUGGUCGUGAGUGUUUCCUGAGUUGGCAUUCUUCAUAAUAUAUGAAAAAUCUUAUUGUUUCAAGUGUUUUGGAGUUUGAACCGUGUAGGUGCAAAUCUUGAUCUUUUGGUUUGAUUUUCAGGUUCAGGGCGUUAGGGGGGAGACAAAAUUGCUUCAAUCAGCUCUAUCAAAUUCUAAUCCCAGUCUUAGUACUAAUUAGCUUUAACCUCUGUAGAAGGUGUAUUUCUUAAGUGAAGACAGUGUGCUUAGGUAACUUCUUUUGAGUAUGGCGUGUUGCAAUAUAACGCUGUAGUUGGUUGCAUAUAUAAAAUUUAAGCAUCUAGUAAAAUUAAAACCAGUCUGCAAAUAGUUACUGAAGAAUAUUUGAUUAAAUACACAAUUGAUAUGAUGAAAGUCGUCCAUAAACAAAAUACAGUAGAAACGAUCUACGGCGUUGUGCACAGGACAAUGUUUUGAAUGUUAUUAAUUGAUUGAUUACAAGAGAUAAUGAUCACUCACACUCUCCCAUCUCACCCUAAACCCUCACCACCACCAAAACCCCUCCACUCAAUAUAUAAGACAAAAUAAGUAAACCAAAAAGUUAUUAAACCAUAGUUACUUUGAUUAUACUAUACUUUCUUGCGCUUAUCCUCCCUUAACCAAUGCUUGUUCUUAUCAUCUCUUAACCAAUGCCCUUAUGUAUUAUUGGUAAGUUAUCAGCACAAUUCAUGCUAACAAUGUAACCGAGGAAGUCAACUAAUGCAUCAUCAUCGUCUCAGGGAUUAACUGGCUGUUCAAAAUGCUCAGUUUAUUCGACAGAUUUUGUUCCACUGUUCUUUUGAUUCUUCUUAGCGUUGACCUCGUUUUGUAUAUUUCCUCUGUUUUGAUAUGUAAGUAGUUUUACCAAAAAAAUAUUUGUUUCACAAUGUAAGAUAUUUACAUAGUCCAAAGCAUUAUUUACAUUUAUUACAUGUUAUGUGGCCAAUCAAAUAAUUUAUGCAUUUUUAUUAUUGGUUGAAUUUAUGUAUUAAAUACUAUUUUUUUCAAAAGUAAAAGUUUUCUUAAUAUUCACAUUUUUAGCUAAUACUACUUAUAAAUAAAAACAGAACAGAGGAAGUAUUAGAUUUUUUUUUUUUUUUUUUUUUUGUUCAAAGAGGAAGUAUUAGAUUAUGUUAAGAAACUUAUAAAGCUAAAUACAAUUUUUCUUGGGACGAGCCCACGAGGCCCAAAAAGAGAAAAAGUUACAAUUAAUUACACAAUUGUCCUUCUUCGAAACAAAUAUCUGAAUCCUGUGAAACCCUUGCGGUGCUCACUUACACUGAGACUGAGAGAGUAGCUUCCCAGAGAAAACAAUGGCGAAUCUUCCGAUGGAUAUCGUCAACGACGUCUUCCUCCGCCUCCCAGCUACUACGCUGGUCCGAUGUCGCGUCCUCUCGAAGCCUUGCUUCUCUCUCAUCGACAGUCCUGACUUCGUUGCCUCGCAUCUCAAACGCACGCUCGAAACCGAAGAGCACCUCAUGAUCCUACUCCGAUCCCCUCGUCUUCUACGUACGGUGUACCUCGACGCACCGGAUAAAAUCUCAGACGUUGAGCAUCCUCUGCAAACCGAUGGCUCCACAGAGGUUUUUGGUUCGGUUAACGGCUUAGUUGGUUUAACGAACUCUCCUGUUGACUUAGCUCUUUUCAAUCCAUCAACUCGGAAGAUCCACCGCUUACCGAUUGAGCCUAUUGAUUUCACUGAGCAUUCCAUCUCUCGCGAGAAUGUGUUUUACGGAUUAGGUUACGAUUCCGUGAGCGACGAUUACAAAGUUGUGAGGAUGGUUCAGUCUAAGGAUAGAGGUAUUGAAAGAUUUGGCUAUCCUUUCGAAGUCAAAGUUUUCAGCUUAAAAAGGAACAGAUGGAAGAGAAUCCGUGAGGUUCAGAUUCUUUUCAUUCACUUCUAUUACCGUUUUCUGUAUCCUAGUGGAAAUGGUGUUCUUGCUGGCAACAGUCUUCACUGGAUUUUGCCUCGGCGUCAAGGACUUAUCGCCGGCAACAGGAUAAUCAGAUUUGAUCUUGCGUCUGAUGAUCUUGGAGUCCUCAGUUUUCCACAGGAGCUUUACUUUGAAGAUAAUAUGGAGAUGGGUGUGUUAGAUGGCUGCCUUUGCUUCAUGUGUUACAGCAUGUUUAGCCAUGUGGAGGUUUGGAUUUUGAGGGAGUAUCAAGGAAAAUGGUCUAAGUUCAUUACUGUGGAGUCGUAUAACUUUAUCAGACCUCUGAUCUAUUCUAAGGACAGGAGCAAGAUUUUGAUGGAGAUAAACGGUGAGAAGCUGGUGUGGUAUGAUUUGGCUAGUAAGAGUUUUGAAACGUUUGUGAUAAAGGGUUGUGAGGGUCUUCAAUGUAGCGCAGAAAUUGUUGUGAGUAGCCUUGUUUUGGGAUGUAAAGGUGAUCCUCACAGAGCUCGAGAAAAGAAAAUGUUGCAGAAGGGUAGCAAAAGGUGGGGGUAUGCUCAUCUUUAUAAUGUGCUUUCUUACUUGUUUUUGAUUCCUUGAUCAGAUUUCUCGAUAUAGUUAAGACAAUAAGGCAAAUCUGAGUCUUGAGUAUCUUCAUUCUUUGAGAUUUUAGGAUUGUAAAUUGUAACUUGCUUAAAACAUCUUAUGUUACAAUCUCAGGAGAGAUGAAUGUCUGUCCAAGGGAUUCAAGCUGAAGUUAUGAACAAAGCAGGGGAACUUUAUAAAGGUAAACUUAAUGAUUCUAAUGGUCGUGAAUGUUUCCCUCAAGUUGGCAUUCUUCACAAUAUAUGGAAAAUCAUAUUGUUUAUAGUGUUUUGGAGUUUGAACCGUGUAGGUGCAAAUCUUGAUCUCUUGGUUUGAUUUUCAGGUUCAGGGCGUUAGGGGGGAGAGGAAAAGGAAAUUGCUUGAAGCAGCUCUAUCAAAUUCUAAUCCCAGUCUUAGUACUAAUUAGCUUUAACCUCUGUAGAAGGUAUAUUUCUUAAGAGAAGACAGUGUGCUUAGGUAACUUCUUUUGAGUAUUGCAUGUUGCAAUAUAACGCUGUCGUUGACUGCUGCAUAUAUAAAAUUUAAGCAUCUAGUAAAAUUAAAAUCAGUCUGCAAAUAGUUACUGAAGAAUAUUUGAUUAGAUACACAAUAAUAUAAAGAAAAGCGUGAUAAUUAGAAAAAAAAAAUUGUUGAUAAACAAAAACAUAAGAAACUAGCUACCAGAGUUGAUUCAAGCUAACAAGUCAAUUGACUGUCUUGUUGAAGAAAAGGCAAUCAGAUUUUUUUCUAAAUCAAAUUUGUCCAUGAGGUUGUGUUGUGACUUGAAAAGAUUAAUACAUUUUUUCUUACGAGAUUUAGUGGGCCGAGCAUACGAGGCCCACAAAUGUACUUGGAAACAAAUAUCUAAAUCACCAGGGAUUGUAAUUUUGUGAAACCCUUGAUUUUCUCAGUCACACCGAGACUGAGAGAGAGUAGCUUCCCAGAGAAGACAAUGGCGAAUAUGCCGAUGGAUAUCGUCACCGACGUCUUCCUCCGUCUCCCCGCUUCUAUGCUGGUCCGAUGCCGCGUCCUCUCGAAGCCUUGCUUCUCUCUCAUCGACAGUCCCGACUUCGUCGCAUCGCAUCUCAAACGCACGCUCGAAACCGAAGAGCACCUCAUGAUCUUGCUGCAAUCCGAUCGCCUUUUACGUACGGUGUACCUCGACGCACCGGAUAAACUCUCCGACGUUGAGAAUCCUUUGCCAACCGGUGGUUUCACGGAGGUUUUCGGUUCGGUUAACGGUUUGAUCGGUUUAACCAACUCUCCUGUUGAUUUAUCGAU
This 7514-nucleotide long non-coding RNA is filed under the name Brassica rapa (field mustard). RNAcentral describes it as "long non-coding RNA (BRAP_LNC001732)". The record is from RNAcentral. Lineage: Eukaryota; Viridiplantae; Streptophyta; Magnoliopsida; Brassicales; Brassicaceae.